UGGGGAAUUUUGGACAAUGGACGCAAGUCUGAUCCAGCAAUGCCGCGUGCAGGACGAAGGCCUUCGGGUUGUAAACUGCUUUUGUACGGAACGAAACGGUCUUCUUUAAUACAGAGGGCUAAUGACGGUACCGUAAGAAUAAGCACCGGCUAACUACGUGCCAGCAGCCGCGGUAAUACGUAGGGUGCGAGCGUUAAUCGGAAUUACUGGGCGUAAAGCGUGCGCAGGCGGUUAUAUAAGUCAGAUGUG
RNAcentral lists this ribosomal RNA (249 nucleotides) under uncultured Comamonadaceae bacterium. RNAcentral describes it as "partial 16S ribosomal RNA". It matches the Rfam family "Bacterial small subunit ribosomal RNA", at positions 355 to 596 of the family's 1533-position model. Lineage: Bacteria; Pseudomonadati; Pseudomonadota; Betaproteobacteria; Burkholderiales; Comamonadaceae. The record is from RNAcentral.